Molecule: ribosomal RNA, 500 nt
Filed under: uncultured bacterium
Lineage: Bacteria
Description: partial 16S ribosomal RNA
Rfam family: Bacterial small subunit ribosomal RNA
Source: RNAcentral
AUUGAACGCUGGCGGCAUGCCUUACACAUGCAAGUCGAACGGCAGCACGGGAGCAAUCCUGGUGGCGAGUGGCGAACGGGUGGGUAAAGUAUCGGAGCGUGCCCAGUCGUGGGGGAUAACGUAGCGAAAGUUACGCUAAUACCGCAUACGAUCUAUGGAUGAAAGCGGGGGAUCGCAAGACAUCGCGCGAUUGGAGCGGCCGAUAUCGGAUUAGGUAGUUGGUGGGGUAAAGGCUCACCAAGCCGACGAUCUGUAGCUGGUCUGAGAGGACGACCAGCCACACUGGGACUGAAACACGGCCCAGACUCCUAGGGGAGGCAGCGGUGGGGAAUUUUGGACAGUGGGCGAAAGCCUGAUCCAGCCAUGGGGCGUGCAGGAUGAAGGCCUUCGGGUUGUAAGCUGCUUUAGUACGGAACGAAAAGGUUGGGGCUAAUAAGCUGAGCUCAUGACGGUACCGUAAGAAUAAGCACCGGCUAACUACGUGCCAGCCGCCGCGGUAA